This 23-nucleotide non-coding RNA is filed under the name Cricetulus griseus (Chinese hamster). Lineage: Eukaryota; Metazoa; Chordata; Mammalia; Rodentia; Cricetidae. The record is from RNAcentral.
GUGCUGACGGUGGGGGUUAAGCC